CCAACGCUGGCGGCACGCUAAUCAUGCAGUCGAGCGCGCCUUCGGGUGAGCGGCGGACGGGUUAGUAACGGAACGUGCCCUUCUCUACGGAAUAGCCUCUGGAAACGGAGAGUAAUACCGUAUACGCCCUUUGGGGGAAAGAUUUAUCGGAGAAGGAUCGGCCCGCGUUAGAUUAGGUAGUUGGUGGGGUAACGGCCUACCAAGCCUACGAUCUAUAGCUGGUUUUAGAGGAUGACUCAGCAACCUGGGACUGAGACACGCCAGACUCCUACGGAGCACGUGGGGAAUCUUAACAUGGGGCACCCUUGAUCUACCAUGCCGGUAGUCUAAGGCCUACGUCCACGCUCUUCGCCUUGAUGAUA
Molecule: ribosomal RNA, 362 nt
Filed under: uncultured bacterium
Lineage: Bacteria
Description: bacterial SSU rRNA
Rfam family: Bacterial small subunit ribosomal RNA (bases 11-321)
Source: RNAcentral